This 489-nucleotide unclassified non-coding RNA is filed under the name Borreliella burgdorferi (Lyme disease spirochete). RNAcentral describes it as "partial 16S-23S ribosomal RNA intergenic spacer". The stretch from base 126 to 199 matches the Rfam family "tRNA". Lineage: Bacteria; Pseudomonadati; Spirochaetota; Spirochaetia; Spirochaetales; Borreliaceae. The record is from RNAcentral.
UCUUUUCUUUUGAUAGGAGAGUCUUUAAAACCAGUGUUAUUUUUGUAAGUUUAAGAGAAGUUUGUGUAUUGAAUUUUUAAUAUUAAAGAGCUUUGUUAAACUUAGACUUAAGUUUAGGUCAUUUUGGGGGUUUAGCUCAGUUGGCUAGAGCAUCGGCUUUGCAAGCCGAGGGUCAAGGGUUCGAGUCCCUUAACCUCCAUUGGGCUUAUGUCCUAAAUUGUAAUUAAGUAUGUUUUUAAGCAACUUUAUUAAAGUAAUUGUUGGAAUGUGAAACAGAGGAAGUUAAAAUUUCUGGGUUAAGUUGAGAUCUGUUGAUAUUAAGAAGAAUCUCUAGAAGCAAAAGCAAGCUUUCGAUAAAACCCGAAGUUGUUUCGCUAAAGUGCAAGGAUUAAACAGGAUUGUAUUUUCCAGUAGCCUAUUUUAUAAACGAUCUGCAUUUAGUAAAUAGUUUUUAGUUAGGAAAUAAUGUAUAUUGCUAAGUGUGAUGUC